GAUGAACGCUGGCGGCGUGCCUAAUACAUGCAAGUCGAGCGAACGGACGAGAAGCUUGCUUCUCUGAUGUUAGCGGCGGACGGGUGAGUAACACGUGGAUAACCUACCUAUAAGACUGGGAUAACUUCGGGAAACCGGAGCUAAUACCGGAUAAUAUUUUGAACCGCAUGGUUCAAAAGUGAAAGACGGUCUUGCUGUCACUUAUAGAUGGAUCCGCGCUGCAUUAGCUAGUUGGUAAGGUAACGGCUUACCAAGGCAACGAUGCAUAGCCGACCUGAGAGGGGGAUCGGCCACACUGGAACUGAGACGCGGUCCAGACUCCUACGGGAGGCAGCAGUAGGGAAUCUUCCGCAAUGGGCGAGAGCCUGACGGAGCAACGCCGCGUGAGUGAUGAAGGUCUUCGGAUCGUAAAACUCUGUUAUUAGGGAAGAACAUAUGUGUAAGUAACUGUGCACAUCGUGACGGUACCUAAUCAGAAAGCCACGGCUAACUACGUG
This 497-nucleotide ribosomal RNA is filed under the name uncultured bacterium. RNAcentral's name for it is "partial 16S ribosomal RNA". It matches the Rfam family "Bacterial small subunit ribosomal RNA", at positions 28 to 507 of the family's 1533-position model. The record is from RNAcentral.